GUGUCCAUAGCUCAGCUGGAUAGAGCAACGGCCUUCUAAGCCGUGGGUCGGGGGUUCGAAUCCCUUUGGGCACGC
RNAcentral lists this transfer RNA (75 nucleotides) under Clostridiales bacterium CHKCI001. RNAcentral describes it as "tRNA-Arg". It matches the Rfam family "tRNA". From Rfam's summary of the family: Transfer RNA (tRNA) molecules are approximately 80 nucleotides in length. Their secondary structure includes four short double-helical elements and three loops (D, anti-codon, and T loops). The record is from RNAcentral. Lineage: Bacteria; Bacillati; Bacillota; Clostridia; Eubacteriales.